This 4235-nucleotide unclassified non-coding RNA is filed under the name Penaeus japonicus. RNAcentral's name for it is "phosphatidylinositol 4-phosphate 5-kinase type-1 alpha-like, transcript variant X17". The record is from RNAcentral. Lineage: Eukaryota; Metazoa; Arthropoda; Malacostraca; Decapoda; Penaeidae.
CCCUCACAGUCAGUCAACUUCCGUCUCGCUCGGGGAAAGUGUGCGGGUCUCGAAUUGGUGGAUUUUGGUUGUGUUCCUCCCCUUACUUCGCUGUGGUCAGUGUAUUAUGUGAAGUACAGGCAGUGUGCAGUGCUAGAAACGUACCCAAUAUCGCCUGUGUCGUCACUAAUGAGUCAAAAUGGCCGAUCCCGAUAUUCCGAGCAACGAUGUAGACACCUUGAAGGCAGCGGGAGAAGAUGGAGGCCCUACAGACGGCAGCCCCCAAGAUGGCAACCCUAAAGAUGGUGCCUCCAAGGAUGGCACCUCGAAAGAUGGCAAGCCUCGGCCACCACCAGUUGAUAUUGCUGCAGCACAAAAUGCGGGUGGCGAGGGUGGUAUCAAGACGCCCACAGUCUCCGCCCAGACCCCACGAACCCCAGGCACCUCACGAUAUGAUACCUUUAGGGAUAAAGAGAGGAAGAUUGGCCACAGGAGAGUGGGAGAAGGAGGCAUCGUUACAUACAAAAAAAUUGGAACUUCACAACUUAUGGCAUCAAUCCAGCUGGGUAUCCAACAAGCAGUGGGGAGCCUGGCAGGCAAGCCUGAUCUGGAUGUUUUAAUCCAGGACUUUUAUGUUGUAGAAACUAUUUUUUUUCCUUCUGUGGGUUCUCAGUCAACACCAGCUCAUCAGUUUUCUGAGUUUAGAUUCAAAGUAUAUGCACCCAUAGCAUUUAGACAUUUUAGAGAUCUGUUUAAAAUUCAACCAGAAGACUAUCUUGUUUCACUGUGCAGCGAGCCUCUACGAGAACUAAGUAAUCCUGGGGCGAGUGGCAGCAUAUUUUAUUUAACAAAUGAUGAUGAGUUUAUCAUCAAGACAGUGCAGCACAAGGAGGCAGAGUUCCUUCAAAAGUUAUUGCCAGGAUAUUAUAUGAAUCUGAACCAGAAUCCUAGAACAUUAUUACCAAAGUUUUUCGGACUCUAUAAUUAUCAGUGUAAUGCCAAGAAUAUUAGGUUGAUAACAAUGAACAACUUACUUCCGUCAUCAAUAAAGAUGCAUCAGAAAUAUGAUCUAAAAGGUUCUACGUACAAAAGAAAGGCUAGUAAGUAUGAACGUAGCAAAGAAUCCCCAACAUUUAAGGACUUGGACUUCAUGGAGCACCAUCCAGAAGGUAUUCUGCUGGAAGCAGAAACCUACAAAGCUCUCGUAAAUACUAUUGCAAGAGACUGCAGAGUAUUAACAUCAUUCAAGAUUAUGGACUACUCUUUAUUGGUGGGCAUUCACAAUUUAGAUCUUGCAGCCAGAAAGAAGGCACAAGACAAAGAGAAAAAAUUAAAUGGCGGAGAUGGUGGGCCAGCAGAGGACGGGAGUGGAGAGUUUGAAGGAGAUGGCACUGGCCUGACCCGAUCCCGCUCCAUCAAUCGACACAAACUUGUAGCCCAUUCAACUGCCAUGGAAUCCAUUCAGGCAGAUUCUGACCCAAUAGACGAGGAAGACCAUGUCCCGCCCGGUGGCAUUCCAGCGAGAAAUGCAAAAGGAGAACGGCUCUUGCUUUUCCUUGGUAUCAUUGAUAUUCUACAGAGCUACCGCCUAAAGAAGAAAUUGGAGCAUACAUUCAAGUCAAUGAUUCAUGAUGGGGAUACGAUAUCAGUACAUCGACCAAACUUUUAUGCACAGAGGUUUCUGAAGUUUAUGGAAACCACGGUCUUCAAAAAGAUUCCAUCACCUUUGAGACACUCCCCAUCACGGCGGAGAGGUACUUCCAUGCGUAUCAUGCGCCCAACAUCCCAGGCUGAUCCUGAUCAUCCUGCAGAUGGUCACGACAGUCAUGAAGGCUCAUCAGUUCGCAGUAAGAAAGGUGCAAGUUUUCGAAGCAGAAGGGCAGUUGCCGGGAGAGUAGCAGGUGGUAGUGUUAGUGCUGAGGAGCAGCAAGGUGGAAGUGGUGCUGAGCCUGCCUCUGCACUAGCUGUGGGAGCAAGUGCUGGUGUCUCUUCUACUGCUCCAUCAUCUGUGAGUGGAACAGGCACAACUGGUGCAGCAGGAAUACAGGCAACAGCUGGGGGAGGAUCUGCUGCUGCAUCAGUGGUUGGAUCAGGCACACCUUCAACACCAGUAAACCUCCCAGCAGUGUUGCAGGACCGACCCCACUCUGGCCGUGGCCGUGUGCCUCCUCCCGUACCCCCGCGAUCGCCAAGGGGCGGCAUUGGCCAACCAUCCUCUGCCUCCUCUUCAUUCUCAUUAACUCGAGGUAGUGGCCGCGGUGUAGUGACUGUAAGCGCAGGAGGGGCUGGAGCAGCUCACCCCCCAGUAGGCUCCCACCCUCCACCUCCAGCCUCAGGUGUUGGGGCAACAGGCAGCACCGUUGUGACCACUUCCUCUCCACGAGUACAAGUACGGUCAUCCCAUACUCACGUCACGACAGUAGCCAUCCAGGAGGACAGAACUGAUGUUGUAAGAACUGGUCAAAAGUUGCGCUUUAAGGGCCUUGACGAAGACCCAAAAAGUGUCACAGAUCCUGUGCUUGUUAGCUAUAAGGCAAUAAAGUCCUCCAGUCUAAGGGUGUCCCACUACUCCAGUACGCAGUCUUAACACCACCCAGGAAUCCACAGACAACCUCAACUUCCAAGAAACAGAAAUGAAGCGGCUGCACAAGCGGCAGAGUUCGUAUACACACUUCACCCUGACUAUGGAAGUGCAUGAUGAGUCUUUGGAACGCACUUGUAAAAUGAGAACGUCGACAUGAUGAGUCAGCUGGGUCGUCCAUGUUUCUCUGCAGUGUUUCUGGUGACGCUAGUCAGAGUGAGGAACACCACCAGAGGAGAAGAGAAAUGGAGAAAAAGAGACAAGAAUUUUAAAAGAGAAGAAUUCCAGACAGAGAACAAGAGAUUUGUAUGACAUAGUGUUUUCUCUAUGUGAUCUAUCUUCCGUGGUUCAUUUUGAGAAAAGAGACAUUUUAUCCAUUUAAAAAAAAAAAAAAAAUGAAUUAGUAAAAAAAACAAUCAUAUUUGGAAGAGGCUUUUUUCUCGCAAUUCAUCGGCUGAACAAGCUGAGAGAAUACAAUACCAAAUACAUGUAAAUAUAUGUUGCAAUCAUAUCUUUUAUCAUUAUAUUUGUUAUUUGUUAAAUGAUAUGCUUCAUGUAGCAUAAACAUUGAAUCAUUGUUCUCUGUUACAUGGAGGUUCUGUGAUGAAUGUUGGGACUGACUAUCCUCUUUUCCUUUGGGAUUUGCACAUAGUGUAUAUCUAAAUCUGCCCACAUUCCCAAAUUCAGCCUUAAUUUUGAAUGCCCUGUUUUGAUUACUUUGGUAAUUCAGUAAAGCAUUUUACUGUAUUUUUCCAUAAGCUAUAUAUGAAAUGAGAUGAGAGUAAAAGAGUGUAAUGACGCCCAUAUAGAAUAUACAAUUGAGGCUUAGUUAUUGUUUUAAAAGUUGAUUGUUUAAUAUAUCAAUAAAAAUAAUGUGACAAGUCUUGUGAUGAUUUACAAGAUUAUUGAGACAGGAUACUCUCCAAUUAUCACCUUGCAAUGAAACAGGAAUUUGUAAAUUGUUGUACUUGUAAAGAUGGAGCGUAUUCAACAUCCUCUAUGAAUAUCCUUUGUUAAGGAGUCCAUGUUUUCCUAUACAAUUCAUGCUUUAAUCCACUGGGCCACUAAUUUUUGAAGCUGCUCAUGACAGUGUAAUACUCAGUAGGUAAAUAGUUAUGGAGAAUACAAAGCAAACAGAUAUUUGUAGUAUUUAUUUGUGAUUUUUUUUAAGGAUAGAUGAAUGUCAUGUGCAUUUCAUAAUUUUAGAUUUAAUAGAACAUGUUUAUUACUGAAUCAAUUAACAAAGAGUAAAAGUUUAAAUCCAAAUAAAGUACAUCCUUGCACGAGAUACAUGUUAAACAUCGAUCACAUUUAAAAUGACUAACAGAACAUAGGAAGUUCUGUGUUAAGAUGAAAUGGUGGCACUAGGUAUUACAUUAUGAAUGUAAUUUCUUCUACUAAAUGAGGUAAUAUAUAUCAUACAUCCACAUACACUACAACAAGCACCAAUUUAAGAAACAUGCUAAAAUCACAACAAGGUAAUUUGUUAUGAUCAGAAUACAUACUGUUUAGUUUCAAUAGUCUUUGUGCAAAUCUCAGAUAGUCCUGUAAUUUAGCUGAAUAUCACAUUUUAAUCGUAAAAUGUUAUGCCAGCAUUCUGAAAUCUUUAUUCAAACUAUGUAUAUUUGAACAUUGUAUAGUUUCAUCAAAUAAAUCAGAUGCACUUUGGUACAUA